RNAcentral lists this non-coding RNA (850 nucleotides) under Leuconemacris breviptera. RNAcentral's name for it is "12S ribosomal RNA". The stretch from base 399 to 840 matches the Rfam family "Microsporidia small subunit ribosomal RNA", at positions 752 to 1303 of the family's 1311-position model. The record is from RNAcentral. Lineage: Eukaryota; Metazoa; Arthropoda; Insecta; Orthoptera; Acrididae.
UUUAUUAUGUUUGAAUUAUUAAUUUUUUUAGUAUAAAUGUUCAGUUUGUUUUCUUAAAAGUUUUAUUCUUGCUUAUUUAUUCAUUUUUUCUUUGUAUUAUAUGUAAGUUUUGUUAAACUAAAAGUUCUUUUUGCAGUGAUUUAAUUUAAUUAUCAAUUAAUUUUGGAAUUAGCAAUUGAUUUAGUAUUGUCAUAUUUCGUGCCAGCAGACGCGGUUAAACGAUUAAUGUAAAUGAAUAUUUUUGGUUAAAACAGUUAUUUAUAGUUUUAGGAUUAACUUAUAAAUUUAUAGGGUGAAAUUUAAAAUUUUUUUUUUAAUUCUUAUUAUGAGCCUGUGAAACUUAAACAAUAAACUAGGAUUAGAUACCCUAUUAUUUUAAGUGUUAAUUUUAUUUGCCUGGGUACUAUUAGUUAGGAUCUUUAAACCCAUAGAAUUUGGCGGUAUCUUAUUCCAUUUAGAGGAAUCUGUCUCGUAAUUGAUAAUACACGAUUAACUUUACUUAAUUUAUUUGUUUGUAUAUCUCCGUUAUAAGAAAAUCUUAUUUAAGUUAUAAUUUUCUUAAUUUAUGAUUGUAAAAUAUUUCAGGUCAAGGUGCAGCUUAUAAUUAAGAGGGGAUGGAUUACAAUAAACUUAUGUUUAUUACGUAUUUGAUAGUGUAACACUAUUAAUGAAGGUGGAUUUAAUAGUAAUUUAAUUUAUUUAAUUUAAUUGAUAUUGGCUCUGAGGUGUGUACACAUCGCCCGUCACUCUCAUUAUUAAAUAAUCUACUUUAAUUUUAAGUUAUUUUUGAUUUAGAUGAGAUAAGUCGUAACAUAGUAGAUGUACUGGAAAGUGUAUCUAGAAAGAUUAU